CCUACGGGUGGCAGCAGUGAGGAAUAUUGGUCAAUGGGCGAGAGCCUGAACCAGCCAAGUCGCGUGAGGGAAGACGGUCCUACGGAUUGUAAACCUCUUUUGUCGGGGAGCAAUAAAGCGUACGCGUACGCAGAUGCGAGUACCCGAAGAAAAAGCAUCGGCUAACUCCGUGCCAGCAGCCGCGGUAAUACGGAGGAUGCGAGCGUUAUCCGGAUUUAUUGGGGUUAAAGGGUGCGCAGGCGGAAAGUGCAAGCCAGCGGGCAAACGACGGGGCUCAACCCGGUCUCGCCGUUGAAACUGGCUUUCUGGAGUGAGCGAGAAGUAUGCGGAAUGCGUGGUGUAGCGGUGAAAUGCAUAGAUAUCACGCAGAACUCCGAUUGCGAAGGCAGCAUACCGGCGCUCAACUGACGCUCAUGCACGAAAGCGUGGGUAGCGAACAGGAUUAGAUACCCUGGUAGUC
This 460-nucleotide ribosomal RNA is filed under the name uncultured bacterium. RNAcentral's name for it is "bacterial SSU rRNA". It matches the Rfam family "Bacterial small subunit ribosomal RNA", at positions 338 to 795 of the family's 1533-position model. The record is from RNAcentral.